This 253-nucleotide ribosomal RNA is filed under the name uncultured bacterium. Its description in RNAcentral is "partial 16S ribosomal RNA". It matches the Rfam family "Bacterial small subunit ribosomal RNA", at positions 524 to 776 of the family's 1533-position model. The record is from RNAcentral.
UACGAAGGGAGCUAGCGUUGUUCGGAAUUACUGGGCGUAAAGGGUGCGUAGGCGGGUCUUUAAGUCAGGGGUGAAAUCCUGGAGCUCAACUCCAGAACUGCCUUUGAUACUGAAGAUCUUGAGUUCGGGAGAGGUGAGUGGAACUGCGAGUGUAGAGGUGAAAUUCGUAGAUAUUCGCAAGAACACCAGUGGCGAAGGCGGCUCACUGGCCCGAUACUGACGCUGAGGCACGAAAGCGUGGGGAGCAAACAGG